Long non-coding RNA from Vulpes vulpes (red fox), 2037 nucleotides. The record is from Ensembl. Lineage: Eukaryota; Metazoa; Chordata; Mammalia; Carnivora; Canidae.
UAUUUAUUUUACCAAGUGUAGAGAGCAAGAUGGAAUCACUCAUGUAAAGCAGGGUCUAAGCAGUUAAAAGCACUGCAACUUCCAGGUAUCACCAAGACCAGCAUCAGCUGAUGAUACCCCAGAACUGGUAAUUAGCAGAAGCAGAGUGGGUCUGCAGGAGACCAAACCUGAUUAAACCCCUUUAAUAAAGGAGGAUUUUUACAGCAAACUGUCAGACUCCUCAGAUACUCACCAGUCUGACCACAUCAAAAGGGGAGCUGCCACAGAAAGCUCUGCCUGAUUCAUCUCUGAAGAGAACACAAAUCCUUCACUGCUUGAACAUAAUAAAUAGUUAAGUGCCAAGAGCAGACUCAGACCAAACCACGGCCUUAUCUCAACUGCACGUCCACAUAUUGACUUUGGGUUGGGUUCGUUAACUUCCUACACUCUGUGUUAUCCUGUUUGUUAUCCUGUUUGACUUAUCCUGUGUUCAGCUUUGUGUGCAGUGUAAAAAGCCAAGUUAACCAUGUAGUGAAAUGUUAUUGAGUUGUAAUCUUGAACCUGCUGUAUAACUAUGUUAACCUUGCUUUAUGACUAAAUAAGAUGACGUUGUGGAAAGACACAGCUCGUGUGCACCUUCAUAGUGUGCUCAUUACAACUCACAAGCCCUCUAAAAUCUUCUGAUCAGGAUGCAUAAGCCAUGGCUCAUUGCUGCUCAUCUUCCUAUUGACCAAAGCAAGUCACAUGACCAAGACAAAAAAUUGAAGAAGAGACAAAAUAAUAUCAAAUACUGCUAUCAUCUAUGAGAGCCACAAAAGGGUCAUGACUACAAGAGUCAGGAGAAAGUGACUGGAGCACAGAUUGAUGAAAGAUCCUGCAGGACGACAAAGGUUAAAGAUGCAGACCUGGAGCUAGAAGCCAGCGGUGACACUGAUGGAGUGGACUGCGAUGAGAAUGGCCACAUUAUUGUCCUAUCCUCUGAUAACCAAUGUAAUAUGAAAACUGACUACAGAAGAAAGGAACAAAUUAAAUCCAUUAAUCAAGCAUAUCUCUGCUAAACAGUUGUUCUAAAGAGAUGAACAAAUGAAAAAUUUACUGUUUGUUUUCAUGCUUUCAAGGAUUGGGGAAGAAAAUUAAUUAUAAGGUACUGGCCACGCUAUUAGUUAAGUUUUUCUUGAGGAAACUAUUUAUUGUGUUGUCAAAGGACAAAUGAACCUCAUUAGGAAGAUUAGUUUCAGCUGGUAGUUCUAUGUGAGGACAGACUAAUAAUACACACUUCAAAAGAUACCCUAAGUAAAAUUAUGGAAAUUGAAAAUCCAUUUUUUACUUCUUAAUUUAUGAACUGUUCAAAAAUGACCACUCUAUUACCUGGCACACAAUCAGGAGGCAAUCGAACGUCGCCCCACUUUCCACCCAAGUGCUGGAAGGAGAACUAUUUCAGGGAAGGUUUUGCAAGAUUGUGAUGAUGAACUUCUGUACUUGGGGGUUAUAACUUGGCCCGGGCAUUCUAUCCUUAUGUUGCAGCAUGCCAAGCAGAGCUCCGCGCCAAAAGCAAUUUUUGAUAAGCUCCUCUAAGAUCCUUUUCUUUUCAAAAUGUUGUAAGCGCCCUGGAUAAAUAGCAAGCUGACAUCUGGUAUUCUGAAUUUCCCUUUUAAUUCACACAGGACAAAGCAGGAAAAGGCAAAUACUACUUUGCUAGCAAUCCUGUCUGGCCAAUGGACUGAAGCUCCUGAGUCGGCCAGCCAGGGCAGCUUGGUUUCCACGGUCAUUUCAUCCCUGGCCUUUCCAUGAGGCAGCUAAGGAGGGCGCCAAUUACUGAGCUGUGUCAGGGGGAGGCCCAGGCUAAAACACCUGUCUCCUUCCAAAACCCAGAGUGAAACCAGGCUCAUUCCACAGAGUGCAUAAAUCAGCUGUGAAAUAAUAAUGACUUUUUGGAUUCAGCUGACCUGGACUGGAUUCAGACUGCUGACCCAGAAAGAAAAGGCUUCACAUAUCCCAUUACCGGUCUGGUGAGCCAUUGAAGACAUCACUAUCCUGCUCCGACUUGCUUUUAUUUAU